This 253-nucleotide ribosomal RNA is filed under the name uncultured bacterium. RNAcentral describes it as "partial 16S ribosomal RNA". It matches the Rfam family "Bacterial small subunit ribosomal RNA", at positions 524 to 776 of the family's 1533-position model. The record is from RNAcentral.
UACGUAGGAAGCGAGCGUUGUUCGGAGUUACUGGGCGUAAAGGGUGUGUAGGCGGUUCUCUAAGUUUGGUGGGAAAUCUCCCGGCUCAACCGGGAGGGUGCGCCGAAAACUGGAGGGCUAGAGUGCGGGAAGGGAGAGUAGAAUUCCUGGUGUAGCGGUGAAAUGCGUAGAUAUCAGGAGGAAUACCGGUGGUGUAGACGGCUCUCUGGACCGCGACUGACGCUGAGACACGAAAGCGUGGGUAGCAAACAGG